This 1472-nucleotide ribosomal RNA is filed under the name Candidatus Wolfebacteria bacterium CG_4_10_14_0_8_um_filter_37_11. RNAcentral describes it as "bacterial SSU rRNA". It matches the Rfam family "Bacterial small subunit ribosomal RNA". The record is from RNAcentral. Lineage: Bacteria; Candidatus Wolfeibacteriota.
AUUGAGAGUUUGAUCCUAGCUCAGGAUGAACGCUGGCGGCGUGGAUAAGGCAUGCAAGUCGAACGAUUUAUUUUUUGAACGAGAUCGAGAUUACAUCAAAGUUAAGCGAUAAAAAUAAGUAGUGGCGAACGAGUUAGUAACACCCUGGUACAUACCAUAGAGUUUGGCAUAGCUUGUCGAAAGACGAGGUAAUUCCAAAUAUUCCCCGCUUUCGCUUUUUGUUUCACAAAAAGCUUCAGCGGGCAAGUCGUAAGGCCUGUCCGCCGUAGCUCAAGUGGAACGCAGAGCGAAGGCGGGGCAAAGUCGCAAGACGCUUUAUGAUUGGCCUAGGCCCGAUCAGCUAGUUGGUGAGGUAAUAGCUCACCAAGGCUACGACCGGUAGGAGGGCUGAGAGGCUGACCUCCAACGACGAGACUGAGACACGGCUCGUACACCUACGGGUGGCAGCAGUCGAGAAUAUUCCACAAUGGGCGAAAGCCUGAUGGAGCGACGCCGCGUGCGGGAUGAAGGCCUUCGGGUCGUAAACCGCUUUUCCACGGGAGAAAUCUUCGGAUGAUAGUACCGUGGGAAUAAGAGGUUGCUAACUCUGUGCCAGCAGCAGCGGUAAUACAGAGACCUCGAGCGUUAUCCGGAUUUAUUGGGCGUAAAGCGCGAGUAGGAGGUUUGGUAAGUUUGGCGUUAAAUCUCAGGGCUUAACCUUGAGGCCGCGUUGAAUACUGCCAGACUAGAGGGCGCCAGAGGCAAAUGGAACAGCCGGUGUAGGGGUGAAAUCCGUUGAUAUCGGCUGGAACACCAAAGGCGAAGGCAUUUUGCUGGGACGUUCCUGACUCUCAUUCGCUAAAGCGUGGGUAGCAAAAAGGAUUAGAUACCCUUGUAGUCCACGCCCUAAACAAUGUCCGCUAGCUGUCGGGAGUAUCGACCCUCUCGGCGGCGAAGCUAACGCGUUAAGCGGACCGCCUGGGAAGUACGAACGCAAGUUUAAAACUCAAAGGAAUAGACGGGGACUCGCACAAGCGGUGGAGCAUGAGGUUUAAUUCGACGGUACGCGAGGAACCUUACCAGGGUUUGAAACCCCAACGAACGGCCGAGGAAACUUGGUCAGUCUUCACAAGAGACGUUGGGGCAGGUGCUGCAUGGUUGCCGUCAGCUCGUGAUUUGAAUUGUUCCCUUCAGUGGGGUAACGAGCGCAACCCUUAUCUCGUGUUAUAUGUGUCACGAGAGACUGCCGUGUUUAACACGGAGGAAGGCGAGGAUGACGUCAAAUCCGCAUGGCCCUUUGAUACCCUGGGCCACACUCAUGCUACAAUGGAUGGUACAAUGGGUUGCCAAACCGUAAGGUGGAGCCAAUCCCAUCAAAACCAUCCCCAGUUCGGAUUGAGGGCUGAAACUCGCCCUCAUGAAGUUGGAAUCGCUAGUAAUCGCGCAUCAGCUAUGGCGCGGUGAAUACGUUCUCGAGUCCUGUACUCACCGCC